GGGGGUGUACUGGAUUUCGACGGUAUGUGAGAAGCGCGAGCAGCAUGUCGAGGAUUAUCGGUUGGCCUCGUUAAUCAUCCGAUAAAACUAAUAAUUGCCGAAGAUUAUUCUUUUGCAAUGGCUGCCUAAUAAGCGCAGCCGGUCUGAUACGCGAUCGCACCCGUAGUGUAUCGGGCCCCGAUCAGGGUGCUGGUUUAAGCGGGAUGCAUCGACCGUUUUGACGAGAUCAAUUGAUGCUGGCUGUUUCCUGAGCCUGUCUGCCGGCGCUGGAGAUAGCGAGAACAAACGACAGACUAAGCAUGUAGCGGCUUUCGCGGACCGCUUAUCGGACAGGGGUUCGACUCCCCUCACCUCCAGAC
Molecule: transfer-messenger RNA, 359 nt
Filed under: Chitinivibrionales
Lineage: Bacteria; Pseudomonadati; Fibrobacterota; Chitinivibrionia
Also listed under: 1 other name
Description: WJKA01 sp014729375 Standard tmRNA
Rfam family: transfer-messenger RNA
About the family: Bacterial tmRNA, also known as 10Sa RNA or SsrA, is named for its dual tRNA and mRNA-like properties. Its role is to liberate the mRNA from a stalled ribosome.
Source: RNAcentral